RNAcentral lists this long non-coding RNA (3250 nucleotides) under Homo sapiens (human). RNAcentral's name for it is "non-protein coding lnc-PFKP-16:13". The record is from RNAcentral. Lineage: Eukaryota; Metazoa; Chordata; Mammalia; Primates; Hominidae.
CUUUGAGCAAGAGGACAAACCUGGGUAGGGAUCUCUAUGAUGUUUUCUGCGUUGCCCGUGGACGUUCAUCUUUCUGAUUUGUUAGCUGAAGAUGAGGAUCUGGAGCAGGAGCUCGGAGUGCCAUUGUUCCAUGGGCAGAUGUGCAGCAGAGAUUGUGAGUGGGGUCUGUUGGGGCGGUCAGGGGGCCCUCCUGAGCUGGCCUCUCUCGCCUGCGACUUCACAAUGCUUGUUCUGAGUUCAGCGUUUUCACUGGAGAGAGCUACAGCUGGGAAGUGCUGUUUUUUUCUAGGUGCUCUCAGCUGCUAUUACCUCUUCUAUCUCUUCCUCUGGAAAAAUAUUAGGGGCCUUUUUGUCUUAACAGAAGAAGAAGUAGAUUCAUUCAUUCUUUUUUUUCUUUUUCUUUUUCUUUUUUUUCAGACAGUCUCGCUCUGUUGCCCAGGCUGAAGUGCAGUGGCACGAUCUUGGCUCACUGCAACCUCCACCUCCCUCCCGGGUUCAAGCGAUUCUCCUGCUUCAGAAUCCUGAGUAGCUGGGAUUACAGGCUGUGCCAUCAUGUCUGGCUAAUUUUUGUAUUCUUAGUAGAGACGGGCUUCACCAUGUUGGCCAGGCUGGUCUCCAACUCCUGACCUCAGGUGGCCCACCAGCCUCGGUCUCCCAAAGUGCUGGGAUUACAGGCGUGAGCCACCGCACCCGGCCAAUAUUCAUUCAUUCUUUCUCACCUCUUCCUCCGCUCUUUAAGGUUGAGCUUGCCUGGCCCAAGGCACAGAGUUCUGGGAAGGAUGGAAGAGAGGGGAAGGGAGAGCACCAACAUCACGGACCGCCUUUCACAUCAGCGGCAGCAGCAGUAAAACCCCCAGAAAACCUGGGGUAGGCGUGGGGGUCUGUUUAGAUCAGCCCUGGAGGCAGCCUCCCAUGUCCCUCCUGGACAUUUGUUCACCUUCACAGAACCCACUUCUUUCCCAUCGUCUGUUCGGAUAUCUGUUUCCUGCACCGGGCAGGUAGCACAGCACACUCAGGGGUUUCUCUGACUCACCUUGGCAGCCCCAGCCCUCAGCACACUGCCUACCACUUAGUAUUUAGAGAACCUAUGCCCUUUGAAAAAAGUAGGUAAAUAGUAAAAUAUUAUUUUUACCAUUGGAACAAACACAAUUAUAUGCUUGAUGAAAUUCAAACAGUACAAAUGCAAGAAAAAAAAGGCUUGUUAGGUACAAAUAUUGGAAGAAAAGAGCUUGGGGCCAGAAGUGACCCCAGACAGAUGGGCUGGGAAAGAAGGGCUUUACAGGGACCUCAGUGGCACACAGGGCCUAGACCCAGAGAUGGGGCCUUCUUGACAGGACACCUCUGUCCAAGGGCAUGGGUUGCGCUCAUGUCUCUGUAACAUAUUUCAAAAAGGAUGCAAAGAAACCCAACUUUUCCGGAGAAAGUGGCAAAAAUAAUGAAGAGUGGUUGACCAGAAGGCUUAGGGCCCUGGGACUGUGUUGCUAGAGAGUAAGAACCACCUGUCCUUGAGCAAACCAAACUGGCUUUGAUCUUCUGCCCUUCUCUGUAGAGGACUGAGCAGGAGGAAAUAAGAAUUACAUGAAGAGCUUCCUAGGGAGCUUCCGGAAGAAAAUCUUAGUCCCCUGCCCUGGACACUUUCGCCAGUCAAGGGCAGAAGGUGGCUAAACAAUAGGACGGUUGAGUAUCCCUUAUUCAUAGUGCUUAGGACCAGAAGAGUUUUGGAUCAUGAAUUUUUUUGGAGCAUUUCAGAUUUUCACAGCCGCAGGUAGGGGGACAGGUUGAUGAAAGCCCCGCUGUGUCCCGUGAUUUGUGACAGAUAUCUGUUUUCUUCCUCAUUCCAAUGCAUCAUCUUGGAUUUUGGAAUAUUUGCAUUAUACUUAUCAGUUGAGCAUCACAAAUUCAAAAAUCCAAAAUCUGAAAUGCUCCAAAUAAGAAUUUCCUUUCAGCCUCAUGUCGGCAUUCAAAAAAUUUCAAAUUUUGGAGCAUUUUGGAUGUCAGAUUUUCAGACUUGAGGUGCUCAGCCUGUACAGGUUAUUCAGGCUCCUGAAUUCUGUGAUUGCUUUUUUUUUUUUUCUAGAGCAAAGUUCCAUAAAGAGCAGAUGGAGAGGUGUUGAUUAGCAAUCAAUUAAUUAGUUGAUAUUUAUUGGACCCUUAACUCUGUGUCAGGUAUGGCUCUAAGGGCUUGUAAAAGCAUCAAAUCAAUUUAUCCAGGCCUCAUACUGCCCACUCCAGCAUGUACUAUUAUAUUAUUAGCCCAUUUUAUAGAUGAGGAACCUGAGGAAUAGCAGUGUUGAAUCACUUGCCCGACGUUGUAUUUCUUGAGUAUGAUUGUAGGUAUUAGACGGGGUUCUGAAACAGGGCAAGGAUGCAAUUGAAAUAAAGAAGGAAACAGAUACCUGUCACAAGUCACUGGAUACAGCUGAGCUUCUAUCAACACAACUCAAGUGUGUGCAUCUGGUACCUGUCAAGUUAGAGAAAUUGGUUGUUGUACAACAUGACCUCAUAAUCAAAAUAUUGUAUCAGAGUGCCUGCUGGUAGCAGAUAUCCAAACUUCUCUUGUCUCUUGUUCAAGAUCAAUUGUCUCCUAGCUCAUUUGAUUCAGUUUGGAGAUCAUUUGGUUCCAUGGACAACCUCUAUUGGUGUUAUAUCUGGGGAAGUGCUUGCCUUGGUCCUGGACUUGAUACCACUAAAGCUGAUAAUGAGAACAGAGUAGGGUUCUAUUAGGUGAGAGCAAGGGUUCAGAUGGGAGCAUGUUAGGAAGCCCCCCAUCUCUUCCAGCACUUGCCUCAUCCAGCCUUAGCUGGAGCUGCAGAUGCACCUGCUGGUGACACUCAAGCACCACCCGGUGUGGCCUGCAAGGCCCUGUCAGGGUGGGCUCUCCUUCCUGUCUUGCCAGCAUCGUCACACAGCUAUGCCCUGUGUUCAUCUGGCAGUGGCAUGCUAGCUGCAUUUCCAGGCUCAGCUAUGUCUCCUCCUGCCUCAGAGCCUCUGCAUGCAUGUGCUCCUGCCGGGAAUUUUCUUGCCCCGGUUCUUCCUGUGGCUGGCUCCCUGCCAUCCUCCUCCCUGCCAUCCUCUGCUCUAUUCAAGUGUCACCUUCUUAGACGUGCCUUUCCUUAUAGCCCCCGAGUGAUGGCCUCUCCUCCCCAAGUCACACUCUACACUUGCUUUAUUUUCUUCUUACCUUGUAUUGAAAUUUGAAAUUGUCAAGUUCACUGAUUUACUUGUUUAUGAUUUGUCACCUUUCACUAAA